Molecule: long non-coding RNA, 406 nt
Organism: Coturnix japonica (Japanese quail)
Lineage: Eukaryota; Metazoa; Chordata; Aves; Galliformes; Phasianidae
Source: RefSeq, a predicted model, not a curated record
ACUGUUCCCCUUCUGAGAAACCUAACCACUUCACCUCCUUUAUUUUCUCCCUCUUAGCUCUCUAGACACAUUUGCUGCCAUGAGAUGCCUCAGCCAAGGAUUCUGAGCCAAGAUAUGAGGGAAAUGGUUUAACCAGAUGUGUGCCCAUGCCUGCAACACAGAAUUUUAAGAUGCUGAAAUUUAAAAGCUUGCUAUCGUCUCCCCUGCCUCCCAGCAGCAAGGGUCAACUCUACUGAGGAGUGGAGGAAGGCACUUUGAAAAUGCAAAUGCAAAUGCAGCAAGAACAUUUAUGGACUGAUCUUCUACACCUUCCUUCAAGCACUAGAGUUUCCAUGUGCAUGUUUUCAGAGCACAAGCAACCCCAGGAAAGCUGCUUUUCAAAAGGUAUAUUCAUCUCUUGUUUAAC